This 473-nucleotide ribosomal RNA is filed under the name uncultured bacterium. RNAcentral describes it as "SSU rRNA". It matches the Rfam family "Bacterial small subunit ribosomal RNA", at positions 27 to 518 of the family's 1533-position model. The record is from RNAcentral.
GGGAUAAACGCUGGCGGCGUGCAUGAGACAUGCAAGUCGAACGGACGAUCGAGGCUUGCUUCGAUCGUUAGUGGCGGACGGCUGAGUAACGCGUAGGUGACCUGCCCCGAAGUGGGGAAUAACUGCCCGAAAGGGUGGCUAAUACCGCAUGUGGUGGUGCGUUCAAUCGCACCAGUAAAGCCGCAAGGCGCUUCGGGAGGGGCCUGCGUCCGAUUAGCUCGUUGGUGGGGUAACGGCUCACCAAGGCGACGAUCGGUAGGUGGUCUGAGAGGACGAUCACCCAGACUGGGACUGAGACACGGCCCAGACUCCUACGGGAGGCAGCAGUCGGGAAUUUUGCGCAAUGGACGAAAGUCUGACGCAGCAACGCCGCGUGAGGGAUGAAGGCCUUCGGGUUGUAAACCUCUUUUAUCAGGGAAGAUAAUGACGGUACCUGAUGAAUAAGUCACGGCUAACUACGUGCCAGCAGCCGC